CUCUGGAAUAAAGAUUCAAAGGCAGACACAGAGAGACCAUUAGAACAGCAUGGGAUCCGGCAACCGCAAGGACAAGAGGAAUAUGGCAGCUAUCAAUUCAGCUAGAGCCUAAGGCCACAGCAAGGUCAGCAGGGGAGCAAAGUAAGCCUGUGUGUGAGUGACAACAGAGGGUCUCAGAUUCCGCUGGGAUGGAGGCAGUUACACCCCUCCCUCUCCCGGGAUGCCCGCAGCUUACUCCUUCCACUAUGCCAUUCCUGGGGAACAAGGAGAGAAGCCGAGCCAAUGUGUCACACUCUCUUCAAUCCUCCUGGCACACGGACAGGCAGUGCCACAGACAUUUCCCUCCAAUUCGGUUUCUUCUCCAAGCCUGGAAGCAGUGGGAAGGGCUACAGCAGCAGGAAGCCCAUUUGACCCUUAAGUAGAACUCCUUAACCUUUGAAGAGGAUGUUGAGGACAGUGCUGAUUGACAGCUUAACUGGAAAUUAUAACCUUUUUUUUUUUUCAUUUCUACCACCUACUGCCAUGUUUGUUUCAUGAAGGCAGAGAUUUUUCACGUGUCUUGCUCAAUGCUUUCUCCCCAGUGCCUAGACAAUCACCUACACAGAGCAGGCAUUCAGCUAAUUUUUUUGGCUGAAUAACUCAUAGUAGAUUCAGAACCAGAUUUACCAUCUUCCUAAGAACCUUUUGAGCAUGUCACUUAGCUUUCUUAGAGCUCAGUUUUUUUAGGGCUCAGUUCCUCCCACCUUUAUCUGCGAGAAGAAAUUGAUAAAUGAAUGGCAUUAUAAACAGAAA
Molecule: non-coding RNA, 792 nt
Organism: Odocoileus virginianus texanus
Lineage: Eukaryota; Metazoa; Chordata; Mammalia; Artiodactyla; Cervidae
Source: RefSeq, a predicted model, not a curated record